AUGGGGUAUUUACAGGGUUACCCAAAAUGGAAAGGAGAGGAGAGAGUGGCUGGUCGAUCGGCUAGCAGGUCGGCCGACUGGCUGAUCGCACAGCGAGUCGAUCGGUUAGCUGCCUUGCAAGGCUAAAUACUCCUGGGUGACCGAUAGCGAAGUAGUACUGUGAGGGAAGGGUGAAAAGAACCCCCAUCGGGGAGUGAAAUAGAACAUGAAACCAU
This 215-nucleotide non-coding RNA is filed under the name Helianthus annuus (common sunflower). RNAcentral describes it as "sRNA HanXRQr2_Chr08g0341741". It matches the Rfam family "Bacterial large subunit ribosomal RNA", at positions 348 to 559 of the family's 2925-position model. Lineage: Eukaryota; Viridiplantae; Streptophyta; Magnoliopsida; Asterales; Asteraceae. The record is from Rfam by way of RNAcentral.